AUUGAACGCUGGCGGCAGGCCUAACACAUGCAAGUCGAACGGCAGCACAGAAGAGCUUGCUCUUUGGGUGGCGAGUGGCGGACGGGUGAGUAAUGUCUGGGAAACUGCCCGAUGGAGGGGGAUAACUACUGGAAACGGUAGCUAAUACCGCAUAACGUCGCGAGACCAAAGUGGGGGACCUUCGGGCCUCACAACAUCGGAUGUGCCCAGAUGGGAUUAGCUAGUAGGUGGGGUAAUGGCUCACCUAGGCGACGAUCCCUGUCUGGUCUGAGAGGAUGACCAGCCACACUGGAACUGAGACACGGUCCAGACUCCUACGGGAGGCAGCAGUGGGGAAUAUUGCACAAUGGGCGCAAGCCUGAUGCAGCCAUGCCGCGUGUAUGAAGAAGGCCUUCGGGUUGUAAAGUACUUUCAGCGGGGAGGAAGGCGGUGAGGUUAAUAACCUUGCCGAUUGACGUUACCCGCAGAAGAAGCACCGGCUAACUCCGUGCCAGCAGCCGCAGUAA
RNAcentral lists this ribosomal RNA (506 nucleotides) under uncultured bacterium. RNAcentral describes it as "partial 16S ribosomal RNA". It matches the Rfam family "Bacterial small subunit ribosomal RNA", at positions 30 to 523 of the family's 1533-position model. The record is from RNAcentral.